AGCAUAUCAAUAAGCGGAGGAAAAGAAACCAACAGGGAUUGCCUCAGUAACGGCGAGUGAAGCGGCAACAGCUCAAAUUUGAAAUCCGGCGCCCCCAGCGGGCGCCCGAGUUGUAAUUUGCAGAGGAUGCUUCGGGCGACGCGCCUUCCAAGUCACCUAGAACGGUGCGCCGAGGAGGGUGAGAGCCCCGUACGGUUGGACGCCUAGCCCUUGUGAAGCUCCUUCGACGAGUCGAGUAGUUUGGGAAUGCUGCUCUAAACGGGAGGUAAACACCUUCUAAAGCUAAAUACCGGCCAGAGACCGAUAGCGCACAAGUAGAGUGAUCGAAAGAUGAAAAGCACUUUGGAAAGAGGGUUAAACAGUACGUGAAAUUGCUAAAGGGGAAGCGCUUGUGGCCAGACCUGCGCCCGGCGGCUCAGCCGGCGUUCUUCGCCGGUCCGCUCUGCCGGGCCCAGGCCAGCGUCGGUUCUCGCUGGGGGACAAAGGCGUCGGGAACGUGGCUCCCCCCUCGUGGGGAGUGUUAUAGCCCGACGCGCAAUGCCCCGGCGGGGACCGAGGUACGCGCUUCCGCAAGGACGCUGGCGUAAUGGCCACCAGCGGCCCGUCUUGAAACACGGACCAAGGAGUCGAGGUUUCGCGCGAGUGUCUGGGUGUCAAACCCGCACGCGUAAUGAAAGUGAACGCAGGUGAGAGCUUCGGCGCAUCACCGACCGAUCCUGAUGUUCUCGGAUGGAUUUGAGUAUGAGCGUGGUGCCUCGGACCCGAAAGAUGGUGAACUAUGCCUGGAUAGGGUGAAGCCAGAGGAAACUCUGGUGGAGGCUCGCAGCGGUUCUGACGUGCAAAUCGAUCGUCAAAUCUGGGCAUUGGGGCGAAAGACUAAUCGAACCAUCUAGUAGCUGGUUACCGCC
RNAcentral lists this ribosomal RNA (908 nucleotides) under Neonawawia malaysiana. RNAcentral's name for it is "eukaryotic LSU rRNA". It matches the Rfam family "Eukaryotic large subunit ribosomal RNA", at positions 37 to 962 of the family's 3401-position model. Lineage: Eukaryota; Fungi; Ascomycota; Sordariomycetes; Chaetosphaeriales; Chaetosphaeriaceae. The record is from RNAcentral.